Cercocebus atys (sooty mangabey) is the source of this 10900-nucleotide long non-coding RNA. RefSeq lists it as uncharacterized. Lineage: Eukaryota; Metazoa; Chordata; Mammalia; Primates; Cercopithecidae. The record is from RefSeq and is a predicted model, not a curated record. The transcript has 2 exons.
AAAAAAAAGAAUCAGUUCAAAGUAUACUGGGGGAAAAGAUUAUGGUUUUGCAAUUAUGGUUAACAAAAUCUUUAUCUUGAUAUUCCAAGGGGAACCCUCACCUCAUCCCAGAGAAUCCAUGCUGGCUGCAAUGAAAGUAACCACACACAUUUUUCAGUUUGAGUAUGCACUAAAGAUGAAGGGUGAAUGUCAUGUGUUCAUCACACAUUUAAGCAAAAUCCUCAAAAUAUACCAAAGAAAGUUUGGUUUGGCUACAAAGCUUCUUAACAUGAAUGACUAAAUACACACCCUAAAAAGCCCACUGACCUCUUGGGUAGAUUAUUGGCUCAUGAGCUAUCUCAACUGCUGCUCAUGGAGCCAGAGUCUGUUCCAGCACACUGCCAAAAACAAUCUAUUUCUGCUCCAAACCUACCAAUUAUUCUAACUGGUCAAUCAAUGUGUCCUGUUGAUCACAUUCACAUUACAAGACUCAAAGGCUAUUUUCCAAAACAUUAAGCUGUUCUUUGCUAUCCUUUUAAUGGUGGUGAGCACCCCUCCCUUAUAUUUUAGUUCAACUUCUGCCAAGUUUCAAUUAACCUAAACUAAAGAAUAAUGGUUAUUGUGCUUUAAUGUAUAAACUGUCUUGUCUACAUUGAUGUAUUGUGUUGCUCUGAAGAGGUCCAAUGUGGCCUCUCAGAAACAAACACAAAGAAAAAGGGAAAAUCAUUACUGUGAAUGCCAACAUCUUAAAUACAGAAUCAUUAGAAGAAAAAAAGAGAUGUAUAUAUUAAGGAGCAGUGAACACUUACUGCCUUAUCAGAAUGAUCAUAGUAAUAAUUCUAAUAAUGAGAUUAAUAUUCGGAAUAGUGACACACACACUACUAUCUAUAGUCAAAAUAAGCAACUCAUUCCCCAUUGCAUACUCAAGGCCAAGGUACCAAUUUUUCUGAUGUUUGAUUAUACCAAAUAUUGUAUAGCUGAACAUAAAAAUUUUGGUUAAUGGAGAUGUAAUACAAUAUUUAAUACAUAUCAUAACAUAUAUUAACAGUGCAUAAGUAUAAUUUCAUUUUAUAUUUCCCAAAAAGUAAAAUGUUCAAAGAAAAUUCCUCUCUUCUAUAUUACCCCUCCAUUUUCUUUUGACAAUUAUCCCUGUUCCAUCUCUAGUUCACAUACGGACUGUGCAACCAUGUAUUGAAACAAGGAAGAAAACAGCCCAUAUAUCUAAAGAUGAAAAUAGACUCUGAAGUUCCAUAUAUCACUAAUAUUUUUACAUUGACUCUUCAAACAUAUUCAAGGAAAAAGCCUUUAGAAUCUUAAUCAGUUUUAAUUACUUUCUACAUAAAUAUAUACUAGUCAUUAUCACGUAAACAGUAAUCAGACAUGCACUUCCACACAGAAAAGUCAAUUGUUUCCACAGACUUCCUCCAUCCAAUCCUACUGUUUAAAUAAUCAUGAUACCAUGGCUUUCACUUACAGUUCUUGCCUAUGCUGUCCCAAAAGCUAGAGUUCAUUUUCCUUUUACCCCAGGGAAUAUACAGACUGGAAACACAUCGUCGGUAAAGCAAAGCAUUUUUGAACUCAGAGAAUUCUUUUCCCUAAGAAUUUCAGCAUGUUAAAAAUGACUUGAGAUUCCUCCAAAGAAAACACAUGCCAUGACCUGAGAGGUCAGGAUAGACUAUCCACAGACACAAAAGGCCACCAGAAUUAAGUGUGCAAAUCUUCUUCCUUUCAGUUGGUGAUGCUCUUUACAAAGAGAUGACUCUGCUUUACCUUAAUUUUUUUUUUUUUUUUCUGUCAGGUCUGUAUUGGAAUCAUAAAAUCUCUGUUCCUUACUUUGGGCACUUUCCAUUUUAUUAGGCACUUUCAUGCAUGAGUUUUUAGUCAGUGUUUGAGGUUUAAAAAAAAAAGUCUAAUAUGUGUUUCAUAUCCUCUAAAUUUUUGUGAGCACACAGAACAUUUAAAAUAAAAGUUUAUAGCAAAGUCCCAGAGAUAUAAAGUUGGCAUAUUGUGUUUCUGAGCACACAGCUACGUUUACUCUUCUUCCCAUGCCCAACACUGUCAAAGAUGAAAAUCACUUUAGUGAAUAAAAGAAAUCCCUCUUUCUGAAUUAAAAUGAAAAUGGAAUCAGAAAAUUUACUAACAGAAAUGUGUUAUUCAAAUGUAUUUGAAGCAGAGUAUAGCAAGAUUUUUAUUUCUAGAAAUGCCCCAUAUGACAAAACCAAACCACACAAUAGGACACUUUUUUCUCGCCAGGCUUCCUUGGAAAGGCUCAAGUAUUUUCCAGCAGGCACUUUUCUUUCACAUUUCUGCUAUUUUGUGUUAUUUUCUCUGCCAAUGCAAGCAAAAGGGGCCAUGGAAAAUUCCAGAAGAAAAUCAUUAAAUGAAGACACAGCAGGUCAGUAAUAAAUAUAGGCUUUAUAAAAUGUAAACAGCACUGGCUACAAUCAAAUAUAAUUAGAUUAUAAGCAUUCUUUUCAGUUCACACAUGGAGAAAAGUGUAUUUUUAGGUAAAUGCCUAUGAUUUAGCAAACACAAAAGUUAAUAUAUAGAUUAAACUUUGCCACAUUUGAAACAUUAAAUGUAAUGAAGUUGCAUUGUAUAAUCCUUUUUGGCAUUUACUACAGCAAACCCAUUAACCAAUAGGCUAAAGGCAUGUGUAGAUUCCCAAUAUAUUUUUUCUAUAUACAAGCGUACAAACCCACUUAUGUAAGUAUUGGUACUUUUCUAGGGUAAUUAAAUACCAUUAUGACAAAAAAGUCUUCUCACGAUUUUGUAAACAUGUGCUUCUUAGAGAAAUUUUGUAUCUAUCAAUAAUACUAUGUUUUGGCAAAAAUGAUAUUCCCCUCAUCCCCCAUGUAACAUUUCUAUGCUUUUGAAAGAUAAAAUGUAAAUGAUCUGAAGCAUCAGGGUACUAAGAUAAUCAUUCAACAAGGCAAAAUAUUCAGUGUAGUAAACCUCUUUACGAGACUGUAGUAGUUGGAGAUGAAAUUGUAAAUGGGGAAGUGUAGAUUGCUUUGAUUUAGAAAAUCGUUGCCAUUAAACAGUUUACAAAGAGCCUACUGUUUCUGCAUCAUUAUCCUGGAUGUGUCAAAGUCAGCAUUUUCACAAUAUUUAAAGCACUCCCAACUUCCUCAUAAAUAUCAUUUAUACUCCUGCACAGUCAUUCAGCAUAUCUAAGGAUAUCAUUUACAGUCUUCUGUAGUUACACAGUAGGAUCACCUGAGCCAAUGCAGGUGAACAUGAAAUAAAGAUAUAGAGGAGGGCAAAAUUCUCUCCCAGCAGAAUCAUGGAGAUCAUGGAAUUGUACCGCCAAAUUUGAUCCAGGACUAAGCACACUGUGUUCCUUUGUGUGUGGAAAGUAGCCCAGAAGGUCAGCCGGGCCUGAUGUGUACAGUCGCAUGUUACUACACAGCAAAUCAAUUUCAGAUGAGCAGAUGGGCCCACAUUCCAGCAUUGCCAUUUAUUUUUCUUUAUAUACUUUGUGUUCCAAGAGGCCUCUCUUGCUUGUAAGAAAACAGAAACCAACCCAGAAUUGUCUUUUCCUAUCUUUCUGUCCAUUCAAAUCCCAACAGAACCAUUUCAAGCCACUACCUCCCACAAGCAGCAGCUGCUCCAGGUGACACUGCUCAUAGCAUUCUCUGAAAUUUUCUAGCAUUGAUCAGUAUAGGAAACACCAAUUUUGAUAGGUAGUCUUAUAUAACCUUCAGAUGACUCUUUCAAGACAUUCUUGCAUAGGUUAACAACUUAAAGCUGCAAGAACGAUAAAACCAGUCCUUAAAUAGAAUUUUAAAACAAAUUCAUUUAUGUUCAAAACAGCAAAUCUGAAGAACUGUAUAAAGUAUCUUUUUGUUUCUGAGGCUCUGAAAACCAAAUGAUAGCUAACAUAUAAGAGAGAAUACCACAAGCCCUGGGGCUGAAAGAACAGAAGGCUGUAGUAGCCACAAAGUGAAAGGGAAUCACUUAGCAAAGAUGAUUUUUAGUUUCUUCAUUAAAGCUAGAUUUCUUCAAGUAGCAAAUGUAAAAGCUGAAUGGGUUACAAAGAAAAUGCCAAACUGGGAUACAUUUCCCAGAUAAACGGAUGACUUAUUUUACUUAUUAAGCCCUCUUACAAAACAUCAAGAAAAAAAACCAAAACCUCAAUAAAAAAGAUAAGCUAUAAACCAAAUUAAAAGAGGACUGUGUGUUAUACAAUGAAAGUAUUCAAUAUUAAGUGAUCAAUGAAAUCAGAUGUUUUACAAGAUAUUUAUUAUUUGCCCAUCAGGUUAACAAGGAUUAAAAUAGAAUGAUGACUUCUAAUGUUUUUCUCAAGCAACAAGAACAAGACAUAAAAAUACACAGGUGGUACAAUUUAAAGUAUGAUUCCUUUCAUUCUAUUAUACAAAUUUGAGGCAAGAAAGAACAAAGAGAGGAGAGUUCAAUAGACCAGAGGAGAAACAGUUGAGUCCUCACCAAAAAUAAUUUGUAUCUUAAUACACUACAACAUUGAUUCUCCCAGUACGGUCCCCAGACCAGCAGCGUCACUAUCAUCCAGGAGCUUAUCAGAACCACAGAUCCUUAGGGCUCAUCUCAGAACUACUGAAUCAAACUCCAGGAGUAGGUCCAGAAUUUGUGCUCUAAUAAGACCUCCCCAUGAUUCUGAUGCACACUAAACUUAAGAAACCACUGCUUAGAAGACUAUAGCUUGUAUAAAAUGUAGCAGAGGUAUUUGUUUAAAAUGCUCUGCAUUCUAGCAGUCAGAGACGAGAUGUCAUAAUAUCUGCAGCAUACUUUGAAAUAGCACAAUAACAAUAUCUCCCUCUAUGUUAGAUAUAUGUAGAGAUGGGAAUGUUCACCAAAUUGUUAACUAGCACGGAAUCUAAAUGGAGGUUACAGAGCACAGUGUCUCCCCUGAGCUAGUAAGGUAGUAGGUCUAUACCCAGGAAUCUGACCAGGAUAGGUUCGUGCCCAGGAAUCUGGGUUUUUAUCAAGUAUCCCAGGUUUUCUUUAGGCUGGUGGUUUACACCACUUUACCAAAUGUUAUUUAAGAAACACUACUCUAGACAUCUUGAGUAUUUCUUAGUAAAUGAUGAUGGGGCCUAGCAGACAUCUGUCCCUAAAUGUGCAAGCAGCUUCUAAGAUUUGACAGACCAAAUCUGUGGGUGGUUCUAUCUGUACUCCCACUAUCUUUUCGAUGGUGAAUUCCCAACAACUGACCUGAUGACUCCUGUUUUCCCACACAUAUUACAGAAGACCAUGCCCAACAUCUUUUAAAUCACAAGGUGACAUGACAAGCAAUUCUAUAAUAUUAUGUGAUCACUCAGUAGAGGAUCAAAUCCCACAUGAUGAAUAGGAAUGAGCACUGGAGGCAGGAAAGCAUUCUUCUCUUUCAGUCUGUCCCCAAUGCAAAUUCUGACUUACCUGGGAUUCUGGGGUAACGGGAAAGGUCCAAACUCAAAGACCUGGAUCACUGAGUUUUAUAUUAUUUACAAGAUCCUGCAUGUGAGUUACAUUGGGCCCUAUGAAUUCUACAAAGGGCUUUGUUCCGACAGCAAAUAACCAGGGGGAGAAAUCACUUAAAUGCAUCCAUGGUAAGUAUUUUUCAGAUGUUAUAAGAUUGUUACCAAGGAACCUUAAAAAAAAAUGGGAGAAAAAAAGACGACCUAUAUUCUACAGUAUUGGUAUUGAUACUGUGAAGCAUGCCAUUUAGACUACUGUGAAAUUGAGUAUUUGACAUUUUGCCCUAUUCUUCCCAAAUAUAAAAAUGUUGCAAAAAGAACUGCAUGGUUAUUGCAUAAACCACCUAUAAACAUCUUUUCCUUAGUGUGUCUCAUAAAGCAGAAUGAACUAUGACCACCUCAUUUUUGAAAAAAAUUAGCUGGUUGCUGCCAUGUUUCACUAUUAAUUCCAUUUGCAUAAACUAUGUGCCACAUCUCUGGUCACUUGUUAAUAAGAUGUUUUGCUAGUAGUUCUUUCUUCCUUCAAAGAUGUAUCUUUUCUGCCUGAUUUACAUAAUUAUUAAGCAUCUCCACUUCCUUAUAAGUACUUGCAUAAAGGUUAUAUCAAGAUGGCAGGCUGAAAAGUGUUUUAAAAUGGUAAAAGAGAAGAGGGAGAAGAUUCGAUCACUGCGAAUAUAUCCAAUUAUCAGUUCAAUCAACUUUAAAUUUGUCGCCAUUGAAAAACAAAACAAAACAAAACAACCAGCUCCUUCCUACGCCCAUUCUGGUUUUGGCUGUUCUGAUCACUACUGUAAAUGUGAAAGGAUAUCCGAGUGAUAGGUCAGCCAAGAAUUAAAAUCCAUGUUACAUGGAACUCUACUCGAAAAGAAUUUUUAAGUAGGUCAUGCCUUUUUUUCCCCAUAGAUAUCAAAAAUGAGUGACAAGUGUCCUAAAUUGCAUAUAAUUAGUUUUGAGGAUUUAUAAAAAUUUCUAGAUUAUAAUGGAAAAAUUCUAAAUUAUUCCAAUAUGAAUAGAAGAGUUCAGAGAUUUUGCUCUGAGUAUUAGAUCUCACCAAAAUUGAAUGAUAUCUUUGUGAUUUAGCUGUGUCAACAUCAGCUAUUGGAACAGGUGAAUAUCAUAGAUAACUGCUAUUACAAUAGUCACAGGGCAGGGUAUGUUCCUAGUUCUUAAAACUAACUACUUUUAAAGUAGGGAAAAUUAUAUUCAGUUUAGAUUCCUUAAAAGUAACCACUUUUAAAGUAUGAAAGAUUAAAUUCAGAUUAGAUUUCUGAAAAUAUCUUUUACUCUCAGGUAAGUGAAUGUCAGAAGAACAGAUUUUUGACCAAAAUAUGUUUCACCCAUCUAACAUUAGAUUUGAAAGUUUGGGCCCCUGAGCUUCAAGGCUAGAAAUAAACCAACAAAUCCUUAUAUCCUCGUUUCUGUGACUAUUAUGAAAAUCUCAACUUUAAGGUCAUCAAGUAAGAGUGCUCAUUGUUCUCCAUGUUUUGCACACAAUGGGUACAUGUUCAGUUUCUUCUCCCAGUCAUAUAUCCCAAGUGACCAAAUAAAUUGCAAAGAGGUGAACAAUGAAUUCUGGACUGGGUGCCAGAGACAAGGGAGAGAUGAUUUUUCUGUAAUUUGCAAAUGGAAGAUUCCAAACCUUCCCUUUAACCAGAUAUACUUUCUCCAAUGUUUUCAUCCAUACUCUAUAACUUCCCUUUGAACCCUCAAGCACACGAAACUAGUGACCAUAUUCCAAGUAAGGUAAUUAGUUCUCAAAUAAAGACCUAUGGAGAAAUAACAACUCUGAUCCACACAGAGCCAAGUGCUAUGUUGCUGGAUCUGCCCCUCAACAGUUUACAGUCUUCCUCCAUGAGUCGGUACUGGAUGUCCAGCAUCAAGACAUUCCUAAGAAUAUAUCUGUUUACAGUCGUAUAUUCCUGCUAUCAGACAGAGAAGUUUUCUAGACUAUUGUGACCAAGUAAUUUUGUGUAUUUUCAUGGGAAUGGGGGCAGACAAGGGUUCAUGAGAAAAUCCUCUUCCCAUCAUCUGGUCCUGUAACAGUGAAGCAAGAAAAGAACAUAACUAACUCCAUUUUUGUUUAAGGGGCCUUUACCCAUUCCUGAACAUAGACUAGGAUAAUUUUAGAGCAGUGAGAUAAUAUGCAAAAAUAGCAAUCAUGUAGUUUUUAAAACUAGCUCUGAAUUAAAGGAGACGUGUGUAAACCAACAAUGUUUUGUUAAAGAUUUGUAGAGUCACUGUAACCUGACCAAGGACAAAGAAGUUCUCAGGCUCCUGGGACCCUCACUGGCACCCAGUUUCUUUUUGAUCUCAACCGCUUCCUCUUCCUACUGACCUUAAGUUAAAAAGAUCCUAAAAUCAUACUGACUCAAGAUGGUGCUUUGGAACAAUAGUCCACCAUCUUCUCAGUGUGCUGGUUCCCCAGAUAAACCUGCUUUUCCUCUGAACAACUCUGUCUUCUGGAGUUCUUGCUUUUGAGAGGUGAGCAUUGGAACCUGGAUUUGGUUACAGUACCUGUCUUCCAAGCUAGACAUGUUCUUCUACUCUGACACACUAUCCAUGCAGCAGCAGCACACAAGGAAUUCAGGUCUCCUAAAUGCUCAACACACAUCCAUGUUUCCACGCCUCCAUAUAUUCUAUUUUUUCUUCCUGAAAUUCCCUUGUACCUUUUGAUGCCCUGGAUAACUAGUCUUUCUUCAAAUCCCAAAUCAUACAUCAUUUUCUCUAUAAAGACUUCCCUUUGAUCAUAAACGGACAGAUGGAGAGGAAAUAAGGAGUCCUACUACAUUUUAUAUUUUACUGGAUAUGCCACCAUGUUCAUGACCUCAAAGUAUUAAAAUUAAUCACAUCAUAUAAGACUUAUUUGCUUAUUUAUCUUUUCCGUCAUUUUAUUAACAAGUAGGAUUGGUUACUAUGGGGAAAAUAAAUGUUUUAUUUUUAUUCCCGGAUCUUAUAUACCAUUAACCACUCGAUUAGCUCUCAAUAGGGAAGGAAGAAGGAAUGUAUAGAUUCCUUUAUAUAUUUGUACUGUACUUUGUAUUCAAAGGUAGAGUUAGGUCCCGAAGCCAAUAUACUUUGGACUACAUCAAACUAUUAGAUGGACGUUUUCUCGAAGUCCUCUUUUCUUUUCCAACUAAGUUAUCAGAAAGCCAUUUUAGGCAUAAAACUAUGUUAUAGAAAGUAGAUUCAGAUAUCUCCUUUGAAGUGAUAUUCACUAUAAUGCCCUAUAUGAGUGAAAACAGCAUCCCCAAGGUACAUACAGGCUUACAUCAAGGGAACCUAGAGUAGAAUUAAAUAUCUAGUAGCUUUCAAGGGCCUGAUCCUGAGAAGGUGAGGAAUUGAAUUCAGGGCAGAAGUUGGUCAGGGUGCAUUUAACAAGGCAAGUCAGGGCUGGUGCAUGGAAAACAUAGACUGAGGCAGAAGCCAGAAGGCCAGGAAGAAGGAAACUGGCAGGGGUGAAAGCUGUGAGCAAACUGGAAUGUGUCUAAAAGUGAGCCAGGAAGAAAAGCACAGUGAAGUCAGAGAUGGGAGCAGAAUCUCUUCCCCUCUACAAGCCUUCCUCUGUGCCACUGGCCAGAUGCCAGUCCUGCAACGGGCAUUCAGUACUCUGGUCUCUAACAGAAAAUCUCCAUGGUCACUGAAAAAUCUCAGUAUAAGUAUACACCUACUUCUCCUUGGAUCAGAAGAGCUGGUUCUCAAAUCUAUCUCAGUGAAUCAAAUGAAUCAAGCAUUAUGGGAAACAUACUCACUGGCUUCUCUUGCUUUACACACACACACCACCCCCCACCCCCAGAAAAACCAAAACUGGCUUAAAUGAACAUUGCUGAAAAUAUCACUGAGUUUUAAGCAUAUAGUCACACUUGUCAAUUAUUAGUUGUUCAACAUAAAAGAAAAAAAGAAAAAAAAAAACAACAACCCUGAAGAAUAGCAAAUUUGACGAUUUGAACAAAUUUCCCUGUAGAGAGACUGGCAUUGGGAGCCUAUUCUGUUAGAAUUUCUGGUGCAAUUUCUACAUCCUAACUGGUCACUUACUUCUCCAGAAAUUAGGUUGAAAAAAACCACAGACAUUAAAGACGGCCAAGGAAUGAAAGUUGCAAGGCUUCAUUUUGAGUUUCCUUUUCAAACCUUGAAGUAGGACUCUGAUUAUGAAUACUGUAUAAUAAUUUUAAUAUAAUCAUUUGCAUCCUGAAAACAUUUUAAAGCAAUGAGAAAGCAAAAGGAAAAUUAAAUUUUUACUGUAUGCCAACCAAUUUUGAUAAUGCAGAAGUGAAAUAAUGUCACAAACACAAACCUUUAAUAAUUUAUAACUUUGAUGGUAAUAACUAAAAAUAUGAUUAUCACUUUAGAAAUGUUGAAAUUAAACCAACAAUUUACUUUCUUGGCUAUCUGAUUCUUUUUUUUCUUGAAAACGAGAAAGAAAUAGAGUCAGUCUAUAGUUGCAUAGAAAGAGACUUUUAUGGUUUUUCUAACAAAGAUAAUAAGAAGUUGAGUUUGCUUGAGAGAAAACAUUCCAGCUACUUACUGAAAGGAGCAAAAUUCAAUGUGUGCUUCAUACCACAGUAGAAUGCUAAGAAGAACUGCCCACAAAUUGGGGCAUGUUCUCUUAACUCGGUAGGAAAAGCUGACUGCUUUCUUGAUAACUGCAAGCUGAAGUCAACAUAUGUACCACCCAGGCAGAUCCACUGAAUAGCAUAAAUGUGUAAGUAAAACGUCACUAGGGAUCCAACAUUAUUUUUUUAUGUCAGAAUGGAAACAAACAAACAAACAAACAAACAAAACCACUUUGUUUAAAGGCAAGAUCUAAAUAAGACACUGCCAAGUAAGUUUCCUCUGUCUCUAAGAAUCCUCAAAUAAAAUAACCAAUUUUUAAUAGAAAAGAUUAGAAACAAUCUUGGAAACUCCUAUCAAAAACUAAGGUCUUGCGUACUAGUAAGGAGUGACAUUGCGAUGGAGGUUGGGGGAGGGAUAAAAAUAUAUUGAAGAUGUUGGUGUCUCUUCAAGUGUAUAUCAGAAAAAGACAACAUUAAGAUCAUUCAGUAGUUAAAGUCUAUGAUGUAUUAUAUCAGAAUUUAUAACCACUGCAGGAUUUCUAAAUCAUUACUCUCCGAUGAUGGGGUCAGCAUUUUGAAUAUUACUCAGGGAAAAUAAGAUGUAUAAAUAAAUAAAUAUGAAAAAUACAAAUGAUAGUCCUGACAAAACUAUUUCAGGGUAUAUAAUAUAGCAACUGCUUGCUGGCAUCUGUUCAUCCAGCAUCCAGCUGUUAGUGGAAAGACUGAAAUCAGGUGACAAUUUAAGUGCCACCAUGAUGGUUAAUUUCAUAUAAGACGGUGCUGAGCAGAAAAGAAAAUCCAAAACAACAGUAAAAACUAAAAAUAAAGAAGAAGAAAAAAAAUACUUCUUUGGUCUGUCUGGGCUUUGUGUUUGAAAAAUCAUCUCCUCCAGGGAGGAUUCUUUAAGUACUAUUCCACAGUUGAAAGGAAAAAAAA